This 2808-nucleotide long non-coding RNA is filed under the name Apis mellifera (honey bee). Its description in RNAcentral is "uncharacterized LOC102656014". Lineage: Eukaryota; Metazoa; Arthropoda; Insecta; Hymenoptera; Apidae. The record is from RNAcentral.
CUAAUAAUUUCCAUAUCUAUAUAAUUGUUAAAUGUGAAAUGUAAUAUAUCAUUGUAUGAAUCGAUGAACAAAGUAUCUUGUUAUCCGUAUCGAUAAUCCACGGAUAAGGCUAUUUCCGGAAAUCCUGAUCGAACAGCAUUUUAAUUGACUUUCCGGCGUCAUGUCGUGCGAAAAAAUGAAGUCAUUGCGCGCGCGGAAGCGCGUGCAUAGAACAGGUGCGCACGCAGCUCUUUGGCAUGCACGUGUCGACGAAUAAAAAAAAGUCUCUCGUCAAAGUUCUAAAGAUUUAACCGUCAUGUUACGAGAAAAAGCAUAGAUUAUAAGAAAUUAGAAAUGACAUCGAAGAUAAGAUUAACUUCGAAUCAAAAGGUUUGCAAUUAAUCCGAUAGACAACGCGUGUUCAUGGUGAAGCCUCAUAUAACAACCGACAUAGAUUUACGUCACAUGGAAUUGGCUUCCUAUCAUAUUUCCAUCGAUCGAAUCUAAACUAAGACAACUUACAUUCAUUUGGAGAAACCUACAAAUGGAAAUUGUUUUGAAUGAUCGAAUUGAUCUAAUGGAAAAAUACGUAUUAAUGGAAUAAUACGUGUAUGUAUUUAUAAUAUUUUCAAUACGUGAAAUGAUAGGUUAGAAAAGAAAGAAAGUUUAAAUGUGAUAAUGGAAGAUCGGACCAGAUUUCUUUUCGUACACGUGUAACGAAAUGCAUACGUGAAACUCCUCGAUGAAUAUCUUUAAUAAAGAGAACAAUUUCAACUACAGAGUCGAUGCACGCUGGACAAGGAUUGAAUAUUAUCAUGAUAAGUAGAAUAAUAUGUUACCGUUCUUUCAUUAAGGAAAUAUCCCAAGUAUUAUUCACGUGUUUCAAAAGGAUAUUAUCUUUAAAAAAAUAGUUAAUUAAAGAAUAAUUUCUCUCUAUUAUUUCACAUAUUAAAUAUUUGCCUUUUGAUUGUAAUGAGAAUAUUUUUUUAAAAUUUUUAUCACUGUAAUCUUUGAUUCAUUUUUUAAAAAAAUAAAGAUAUUUAGCUAUUGUAAAAAGAGAGUUGCAAUUCGUAAAACAGUUGGAAAACAUUGUUUUAUGCACAAUAGUACAAUAAAUCUUGUUGACUUGCUCCUUUGCUGUUUUUUUCUGCACUCUAUCGCGCCAUGAAAAACGUGUGCAUGAAAGAAUCUCGAGCAGCCUCUUGUCUCUCGUGCUUUUCCAAUUUUUUCUUCCCAUUUGCGAAACGCUCGUUAAAAAGCGAUGAAAGAUAAUUCCAAUUCUUGCAAACUGUUUUCCAAAACAAAAGAAAUAUCUAACUUUCACAUUUUUUUUCCAGUUACAAGAAUAGAAGAAAAAUCUUUCAUUUAAAGAAUAUUUGUCCCAGAAAUAAGAGAUUCGAGUGAAAUCCGGAAAUUUAAGUGAUAUUACAGAAAAUUAGAAUUUUUUCUGUGUGGAAUAAAAAAAAUUGGAAAAUAAUUAUAUAACUAUAAAUAUGUGAUAGUGAAAUUUGAUAUUUUUCAUUAUAUUUUUCUUAUCUUAUAAUAUAAUAAUUGAAAAAAAGUGCUUUUAAAAAAUAUUAUUUAUCCUUAUUUGAUGGUUAUUGAUAAUGGAUGAAAAAUAUUGCAACAAUAGACGAUAAUUCGUCAAGAUUAAGAUACAUAUCUAACAAUAAAUAUAAGAAUUAAAUUUGAUCGAUCAUUAUUCUUAUUAAUUUAUCAUUCUCACUCUCUAUUUAUUUAUUUUACACAAACAAAAUUAAAAAUACUCAAAGUUUUGCUUGAAUAUUUCAAAAACGAAUAUUUUGUGUAAAAGUUCAUAUAAGAUUUCAACGUGCAAAUAUUUCAGGAAUCCAAAAUCCCUAAGGAUGGUAUAUCAAUCUUUCAUGAUGGCCGUUUCAUUUGCAUCAAAAGCCAAUGGACGUUAAAAGAUUUAUACAAGAAUCGCUUAAGCGAGAAUCGAUAGAUCGAAUAAAAAGGAAUUUCUUGAAGAGGAUAUUUUUAGAUCGACAGAUGCCACAACCUUGGAUGUAUAAAAGUUGAUCUAAAAAUAAUUGGCCAAUCGUUGCGGCUUAUUUACUAAUGGAAAAUCGGUUCAUCGACGUGUAUAACGGUGUACGCGCAGGUACCGUUUUAAAAAAAGGCCCACCAUGAUGAUAUUUCUUCUAUAAAGCAUAAAAUUCACAAGAAGUGUUCUCAUAAUUUGUUUCAAUGAAAAUGCAACUUUAUAUUCAACCUUGAUGCAACUCAGAUCGAAAAUUUCCAUAAUAAUCGAGAUAUUUUUCUAAAAAUCAAAUUUUUUUAAAUAAAUCUUUAUCAUAAUUUGAUAAAAAUUUUAAAUAAAUUAUUCUCAAAAGUUAAGAAGUAAAUCAUUACAUGAGAAAUGCAAACACUUUGAUGAAAUUCAACACUAAUGUAAGGAUUAUGUAAUUAAAUAAUACAUGUACCAGAGAAGAAUUCUGACGUUUUUCUUAUCUAGAAAAUUAUUUAUGUCGCGAUAUCAAACGAGCAUUGUUGUUAAAAAUACUCGCCUUGGGUUGCAGAAAAAAAUUAAAUCAACGAAUUAAACGAUAAGACAUAUCGAAAACAAAUAGUAGUAAUUUUAUAUUUAUUCUGUAAUAUACUAUGGACGAUAUUGUGUAUCGAAUAUACUUCGUAGUAAUUAAGAUUCAUGCAUAUGUAAUAUGUAUGUAGUAAUUAACACGUGUAUGAUAUCAAUCUUGACUAGAUUUACCGAAGGUAAACAUAGUCAUGUUUUCAUACAAAUUGUUGGAAUCUUAUCAUAAAAAAUUAUUAUUAAGUUUUUUUUUUAAAAUACUUGGACAAAAAAAU